UGUAGGAGCCGGCUUGCUGGCGAUGAGGUCAACGCGGUUUGACAGGAACACCGCGCCGCCGCCAUCGCCAGCAAGCCGGCUCCUACA
Molecule: unclassified non-coding RNA, 87 nt
Filed under: Pseudomonas migulae
Lineage: Bacteria; Pseudomonadati; Pseudomonadota; Gammaproteobacteria; Pseudomonadales; Pseudomonadaceae
Source: RNAcentral